This 253-nucleotide ribosomal RNA is filed under the name uncultured bacterium. RNAcentral's name for it is "partial 16S ribosomal RNA". It matches the Rfam family "Bacterial small subunit ribosomal RNA", at positions 524 to 776 of the family's 1533-position model. The record is from RNAcentral.
CACGGGGGGAGCAAACGUUAUUCGGAAUCACUGGGCUUAAAGGGUGCGUAGGCGGCCAUGUAAGUGGGGUGUGAAAUUCCUCGGCUCAACCGAGGAACUGCGCUCCAUACUGCAUGGCUUGAGGGAGACAGGGGUAAGCGGAACUGAUGGUGGAGCGGUGAAAUGCGUUGAUAUCAUCAGGAACACCGGUGGCGAAAGCGGCUUACUGGGUCUCUUCUGACGCUGAGGUACGAAAGCUAGGGGAGCGAACGGG